This is a long non-coding RNA of Strongylocentrotus purpuratus (purple sea urchin), 254 nucleotides long. RefSeq lists it as uncharacterized. NCBI's taxonomy places the organism in Eukaryota, Metazoa, Echinodermata, Echinoidea, Camarodonta, Strongylocentrotidae. The transcript has 2 exons. The record is from RefSeq and is a predicted model, not a curated record.
AUUUCAAAAGCAAUUUAUGAAUAAGCCAUGUUCACAGAUGCUGUUAAGGGGUAUGAAAAAUAUUUUUGUAAUUUAUUUUAAUGAAGCUGUUUAAAGUGGUACACUUCCCAUUAUAAUGGAUUUAGAUGAAAAUAUUUGUCGACUAUAACAGAAUGUAAUUAUUUAUUACUAAUUUUUACUGAUUGAAAUUGAUGGUGCUUAAUCUUUGAGUUGUGGAGGACCAAAGAUAUUUAUUGAGUCAACAGUUUUGUAAA